Molecule: ribosomal RNA, 1812 nt
Filed under: Triticum aestivum (bread wheat)
Lineage: Eukaryota; Viridiplantae; Streptophyta; Magnoliopsida; Poales; Poaceae
Description: partial small subunit ribosomal RNA
Source: RNAcentral
AUGGAGGAGUAUUUAAAUAGAUCCAAAGCAGCAAUUGGGUUUCUCAGAAGAGGUUCAGGCAUAAAUCGAAGCCCUGAAGAGACAACCAGUCAGAACACUGAUGUACCGGGAAGCACUUCAAGAGUCAAUCCUAUGAAAACCAGGUUGGCUGAUAAUCAGGAGAGACCAAGAUACUUACAUGGCUCGUAUAAAUAUGCAAGCUCAAAUGUCAUGUCUGGAAGCUCUUCCAAAUUUCCUAAGAACUUUCCCCUUAGGAAAUUUGGUGAGGAAAAGCGAAGGCAGACUAAGUUGGAAGGGGCUGACGUUGCUGAAAGUAGUAGAAGAAAGUCCGAUGCCGGGUGUCUUGAUGGUAGUAAGAAAACCAUUGUAGAGAAUCAGAGUUCAGAUGCUCCACAGACUGAGACAGAAGGAUUAACUGCCAAAGAUGAUGAACUGAUAGCACCUGAUCCAGAGGUUUCGCAUUCUGCUGGUUCUUCAGGUAUGCAUGCACAUACAGCUGAGUCCUUGGUAAGGAGUGCUUCACUAAGUUCUAAAACACAUAGACAGAAGGAUAAGGAAUUGAAUUUGGGCACAGCUAGAUAUUCUUGCUCUUCGUCAUUUAGUAAUCAGCCUAGUAUACCUAGAAUUCCUAUCGCUGGUGCGAAGCCAUCAUAUAGUCUUGUUAGUGGAGAACAGAGACGUGGACCACGUGGUCUUAAAAAUCUUGGUUGCACUUCAGUCUCUGAUGUUCUGCCAUCAGGAUGCUGGUCUGAUUCUGUUCGUACCAGGAGCUUUGAUGCUAUGAGAAAGAGAACUUCUGAUGGGGAAAGCUCUUCCAGAUCAAGAGUCAUAAGUGAUCCAUCCAGUUUAGGUCAUUCACAUACAAUAUAUCCUAGCAUUAGUGGUCCCAGAAUCAGAACUACCGAAGAAUCAGUUCGGCAACAAACAUUACGAAGCCGCAGUAGAAAUAUUCAGGAUUCAGCAGUAUCAGUAAGGACAAGACGGACUUCUCCUAGAGACACUAGGUUCAGGAUGUCUGAGGAAAGAGAGGAUGCCCUGCUUCAUCUGAAUGAGUCUACUGCCAGGAAUCAACAGUCAGUUGGUGCUGAUUUUUCUGUGGAAGAGGAUUCUUCAGAAAGCUCAAUAAGACCAGUCUCUGUGGAACUACCUCAUGCAAUUUACUCAUCUACUCGUCAGGGAUCGAGUACUCGGACUGCCAGGAGAACAUCAAGCUCCCGUUUUGAGCAAAGCCCCCCACAAACAUUUCGCAGUCUGGCGAGGGAGAGAGGUGGCCACAGACGCAUAAACAUGGAAGGCAUUGCAGAGGUAUUGCUAGUGCUGGAGAGGAUUGAACAAGAAGCUGGGCUUACUUAUGAGCAAUUGCGGGUACUGGAGACAAAUCUGUUACUUGGUGCCUUCGCCUCCCAUGAUCAGCAUAGCGACAUGCGGAUGGAUAUUGACAACAUGUCCUAUGAGGUAUUAUUUUUGUCACGUCUAGUUCUGACUAAAGGGAUUCAUUCAUUACAGAAGCGUGUUUCUUUGGAACUAUUAGCAUUAGAAGAGAGAAUAGGAUACGUAAGUACUGCUCUUUCUGAAGAACAGUUUGCAAAAUGUAUCAGAAGGCGUUUAUAUAGACCAGUUGCUGCAAAAGGAAACAGAUCAGUCAUAGAUGACAUCAAAUGCAGCAUAUGCCAGGAGGAGUUCGUGAAGGGCGAAGAGGUUGGCAGGUUGCGGUGUGAGCACCAGUACCAUGUGUGCUGCAUUCGCCAGUGGCUCCUGCAGAAGAACUGGUGCCCAGUCUGCAAAGCUCCAGCUCUGCCCUCUCUGAACUGA